Molecule: ribosomal RNA, 852 nt
Filed under: Triticum aestivum (bread wheat)
Lineage: Eukaryota; Viridiplantae; Streptophyta; Magnoliopsida; Poales; Poaceae
Description: partial small subunit ribosomal RNA
Source: RNAcentral
AUGCUCUUUACACACUGCACGUCGGGUUUCAUGCCAGUCCACGCCGUCCCCGCGAGGACCCUGCAGAUCUGUUCCAUCAAAGUCACCGACGUGAAACACUUUGAGUGGCCGCUGCAGGUGUACGGCGUGGUUGCUGCCCGAGAUGAUGUGGAUGAGCACCGCAACCCCAUCUUUCUUUGUUCAAGGGAUGACUGCCAAAUCCUCAAUGAAGCGGAUCCUUUUCUAUACUUGACUGGCCCAGUUCGUGCAAUUGUGUCCCAGAAGCCCAUUGACAUCGAAAUCCAACUCAAAGUAAAGGGCACAACGGCCUCCCAAGAUAGAGCAUUGGCCAGUUGUGUCUUUUAUUAUGAUGGCGAUUAUUAUGAAGCUACUUCAAGUACGAUCAUCAUUGAAAAGCACUCUUGCACAUUAGAGUUAUGCGCCCAACAGCUUAAACGUUCAAUUCAAGCCACUAUCUUUGGUGUUCAUGUUGUUGAUUACAAGUCAAAUCCUUUUGAGCAUGGAGUCCGAGCGGUCUGCUCCUCACUAUCUCAGCAGCACGACACCCAAGACGCUGAUGAGUCCCCAUCUAUGGAAGUUGUGUUGCUUGAGUCGAAAGUUGGAACAAAGCAUGCAGUGAAACGUGGUUACCUCAAUCUGUCAAGGCAAGUAGUUUCUGUAAACUUGAGUGGAAGGCUUAAAGUUCUCAUUCAAGCAUACACACCAUCCGGAGAAAUCAUGACACAGGGUCAUAUGUCUUUGUCAUGCCCAAAACAAGCAACACCAGUCAACAUGCAUGUGACCUUGAUGGCUUCAAGGUGGAGUUUACCGUUGCUUAGUCCUUUCUUGUUCAAGAUGAGGAGCAUAUCUUGA